Molecule: ribosomal RNA, 270 nt
Filed under: Triticum aestivum (bread wheat)
Lineage: Eukaryota; Viridiplantae; Streptophyta; Magnoliopsida; Poales; Poaceae
Description: partial small subunit ribosomal RNA
Source: RNAcentral
AUGUUUCUGCUUCACGAAUAUGAUAUUUUUUGGACAUUUCUAAUAAUAGCAAGCCUUAUUCCUAUUUUGGCAUUUUCGAUUUCAGGACUUUUAGCCCCGGUUAGUGAAGGACCAGAGAAUCCUUCUAGUUAUGAAUCGGGUAUAGAACCCAUGGGAGGGGCUUGGGUACAAUUCUGAAUACGUCAGCACCACACAAGCCUGGCCAGGCAUAAAUAUUUUACAUCUCACGUCCACACCAGGCAGUACCGGCCAUCAAGGCAUGAGGGUUAG